This 459-nucleotide long non-coding RNA is filed under the name Homo sapiens (human). Its description in RNAcentral is "novel transcript". Lineage: Eukaryota; Metazoa; Chordata; Mammalia; Primates; Hominidae. The record is from RNAcentral.
CCGGUUGCAAAUUUCCAAAAAGGAGAGUAAAAUAAUUAAUGAGUCAAGGUCUCAGGAGAGACAGAAGGGUUGACAAGCAGAAAUACAGAACUAAUCAUGGUUCCUGAUACAGACGCCAAAACAAGGAAGUGAUCUGUUCCAGUCCAAGCUUCCAAGAAAUAAAGAACUAGGUGGGGCACACUAAACAAGCCCCCAGACUCAACCACCCCAGUGAACAUUCCCUGGUUGUAGAGAGAAGUGAAAUUUGCAACCCAGAACAGAAAUCUGGCUGUGUGAGCAGUAGGAUUGGGGGUGGAAACAUUUAAUGAAGUACAAUUUUUUAACCCUCUUUUAGACAGUAUCACUGGAUAAACAUCCUUUUCAAUAAUAAAAAUCCAAGUCAUUUCUGGCCCUUUUCCUGGAAGUGCUUUCAAGUUACAGGAACACCAAUAAGAGGCCCUUUUCUGGGCAUGGAGCCCA